Molecule: non-coding RNA, 28 nt
Filed under: Mus musculus (house mouse)
Lineage: Eukaryota; Metazoa; Chordata; Mammalia; Rodentia; Muridae
Source: RNAcentral
UGCCUUACAUUGUUUUUGUUUUGAAGGU